This is an RNA transcript of Rhododendron vialii, 1727 nucleotides long. It is a transcript of the gene named GPN-loop GTPase QQT1, with no coding region annotated. NCBI's taxonomy places the organism in Eukaryota, Viridiplantae, Streptophyta, Magnoliopsida, Ericales, Ericaceae. The record is from RefSeq and is a predicted model, not a curated record. The transcript has 11 exons.
GAACAUGUUAAUGUUCAGACUUUUUCGCAAACUUGAACUCAACAAAAAAUUAACGAACCGAGCUCCUAUGAACCCAAAACGAGCCGAACACCGAGCAGUGCACGCUCAAAGGCCCUACUUAAAUCUUCCGAAUGCCCUCCAGUAGGGUCUUUUCGAGAUCGAGAUCGAGAGAGAGAGAGACCUGAGUUUCUUCUUCUUUUCCCCGUUUCUUCUGUAUCUAUUUGGAGAUUGGGUCGAUUAGAAGCGAUAUUUGGGUUGGUUUCGACGUUUCGUUGUGGUUUAGCGUGUGGGUUUUCGAAUUUGAGGAGGUUUUGGAGAGGGGAGUGUCGAGUGAGGUGAAGGAAGAUGGUGUUCGGUCAAGUGGUAAUUGGACCACCAGGCUCCGGGAAGACCACUUAUUGCAACGGCAUGUCUCAGUUCCUCCAACUUAUUGGAAGGAAGGUAGCUGUAAUCAACUUGGAUCCUGCAAAUGAUUCAUUGCCGUACGAAUGCGCUAUUAAUAUUGAGGAUCUUAUUAAACUCAGUGAUGUUAUGAAUGAGCAUUCGCUUGGUCCUAAUGGAGGUCUUGUGUAUUGUAUGGAUUACUUAGAGAAAAACAUUGACUGGUUGGAGUCCAAAUUGAAGCCUCUUCUCAAAGAUCAUUAUCUCCUCUUUGACUUCCCUGGCCAGGUAGAAUUAUUUUUCCUCCAUGCAAAUGCCAAGAAUGUCAUCGAGAAACUUAUAAAGAAGUUGAACCUUAGGCUGACGGCUGUGCAUUUAGUUGAUGCACACCUUUGCAGUGAUCCAGGAAAGUAUGUGAGUGCAUUGAUUCUGUCUCUAUCGACAAUGUUGCAUCUGGAGCUUCCCCACAUCAACGUUUUGUCUAAAAUUGAUCUCAUUGAGAACUAUGGAAAACUAGCUUUUAAUCUCGAUUUCUACACGGACGUGGAAGAUUUAUCGUACUUACAACAUGAUCUUGAUCAGGACCCCCGGUCUGCUAAAUAUAGAAAAAUGACGAAGGAGCUGUGUGAAGUAAUAGAAAAUUAUGGUCUGGUCAACUUUACAACCUUGGAUAUUCAGGAUAAAGAAAGCGUCGGGAAUCUCGUGAAGCUCAUUGACAAGAGCAAUGGGUAUAUAUUUGCCGGCAUAGAAGGGAGUGUGGUUGAGUUCAGCAAAAUCGCUGCUGCUCCGGUUGACUGGGAUUAUUUCAGAACAGCAGCAGUACAAGAGAAGUACAUGAAGGACGAUGAAAUUGAUUUCGACGACUGAUGUUGGGGUAGACGCUGUUUACAGUAAAGGCUGAGGUUUCACUAAAUCCCAUCACAGUGAUUCUCAUCAUCACAUGUACAGCAAGGUGAGGGUCCGAAGUCUGAUAGAGUUUCGGAGAACGGAAUGCCAAAAGCAGGAUCUCUGUGUCAAGAGUUGCCGUUAGGCAUGGCUAUCAGUUAAAAACGAGAAAACUAAUUGUCUUUUGUAAUUUGGCUAAAGGGUUGUAAGUGAUGGCUGAAAACCUUGUUUCUUGUCUGCCAUCUUACAUAUUCUGCUGCUCAUGUUUUCUUGUCCAUCUACAAAUGGAUUGCUGAAUGUUUCUCGCUGCAAGGCAAAAUCCCAGCCAAAUUACAUCUUCGCUAAAUCUUUGCCAAACUGUAGUACUUGUAUCAAGUUUGUAGGUGAUGCAAUUUAGAGGCAGUUCUUGUUUUUUAAACCCCACUAUUUAUUUGACAUGGAUGCCACUUAGAUUUUAAUUA